CGGAGGGUGCAAGCGUUAUCCGGAUUUACUGGGUUUAAAGGGUGUGUAGGCGGAUAUUUAAGUCAGAGGUGAAAUCUCCGAGCUCAACUCGGAAACUGCCUUUGAUACUAUUUAUCUUGAAUUUCGUUGAGGUUGGCGGAAUAUAUCAUGUAGCGGUGAAAUGCAUAGAUAUGAUAUAGAACACCGAUUGCGUAGGCAGCUGGCUGAACGAACAUUGACGCUGAGGCACGAAAGCGUGGGUAGCGAACAGGAAUAGAUACCCUGGUAGUCCACGCCCUAAACGAUGAUUACUCGACAUAUGCGAUACACAGUAUGUGUCUGAGCGAAAGCAUUAAGUAAUCCACCUGGGAAGUACGUCCGCAAGGAUG
This 368-nucleotide ribosomal RNA is filed under the name uncultured organism. RNAcentral's name for it is "bacterial SSU rRNA". It matches the Rfam family "Bacterial small subunit ribosomal RNA", at positions 526 to 896 of the family's 1533-position model. The record is from RNAcentral.